UGUCAGAAGUGGGGUGCAAAGUAGAGCUUCUGACAACCCCCGGGAGUACUGAGUGAACAAGCAAGGUAUCUGCAGAACCCACUUGUGUCCACCGAUCUCUCAGAGUGCCUGGAGAUCAUGCGUAAGGAGCAAAGAAAAAUUUCUCAGAAAAGGAGAUUUGAAGCACAAUUGUCAUCAGUUCACAGAAGAAUUUUGAAGUUCUGUUUCCAGAGGCCUCUCUCUGCCUGCCCAGAGACUGUACAUCUUCAGAGAUGAGCAAAACUCUGCACUCUGCAAAAUCAGCACCCUCUGUCUAAUCAAAAGUUAACUUGGCCCAGGUUUUAGUUUCUCUGUAAGUUUUGUUGGAAAGUAAUAUAAUAAAUCUUAUUACAAGAUACAGCUGAUUAUGUAUACAUUAUGUCUUUGGAGAAAUUUGCAUUUUAAGAGGAAGGUCAAGGAUGCCUUAAUUACAAACAUUGCAUUUUUGGUUAUUUAAAUAGUAUCUGGGAAAACGGUGAAGAUAUAUAGGAAGUUAAGAAAGAUACCUGUAUCUACCACGUGUGAAAGAUUAUCUCAGUAAAUAGAAUUGGCUACAUAUUCAUCUAUUAUAAUAAUACCAAAAAAGAAGAUAUAUAUCUUCAAAGCGUCACAAUUUUUGUAGUCAGCAAAAUGAAUGGCAAAGAUAAUGAGAGAAUAAAGAUACAAAAAUGAGUAUUUAAAAAUAGAAUUCCAAUGGGAAAACUGUUAAUUUUAAAAAUUAUA
RNAcentral lists this long non-coding RNA (741 nucleotides) under Homo sapiens (human). Its description in RNAcentral is "HSALNT0019520". The record is from RNAcentral. Lineage: Eukaryota; Metazoa; Chordata; Mammalia; Primates; Hominidae.